UUUUUUUUUUUUUGCAUUCGUUUUUAUAUUCUGAGUGGAAUUUUUAAAUAAAAAUUAAAACUUUCAACAACGGAUCUCUUGGCUCUGGCAUCGAUGAAGAACGCAGCGAAAUGCGAUAAGUAAUGUGAAUUGCAGAAUUCAGUGAAUCAUCGAAUCUUUGAACGCACAUUGCGCCCGCCAGUAUUCUGGCGGGCAUGCCUGUUCGAGCGUCAUUUCAACCCUCAAGCCCCCCGGGCUUGGUGUUGGGGAUCGGCACAAGGCCCCUCGCGGCCCGCCGUCCCCCAAAUGCAGUGGCGGUCACGUCGCAGCCUUCUAUGCGUAGUAGCAACACCUCGCACUGGAGCGCGACGCGGCCACGCCGUAAAACCCCCGACUUUUUCUGGUGACCUCGA
RNAcentral lists this ribosomal RNA (392 nucleotides) under fungal sp. ARIZ B260. RNAcentral's name for it is "eukaryotic LSU rRNA". The stretch from base 59 to 212 matches the Rfam family "5.8S ribosomal RNA". Lineage: Eukaryota; Fungi. The record is from RNAcentral.